GAUGAACGCUGACCGAAUGCUUAACACAUGCAAGUCUACUUGAACCUCGGUUUGGGUGGCGGACGGGUGAGUAACGCGUAAAGAAUUUGCCUCACAGUUAGGGACAACAUUUGGAAACGAAUGCUAAUACCUGAUAUUAUGAUAUUAGGGCAUCCUAGGAUUAUGAAAGCUAUCUGUGCUGUGAGAGAGCUUUGCGUCCCAUUAGCUAGUUGGAGAGGUAAAGGCUCACCACGGCGACGAUCGGUAGCCGGCAUGUGAGGAUGAUCAGCCACAAUGGGACUGAGACACGGCCCAGACUACUACGGGAGGCAGCAGUGCGGAAUUUUGGACAAUGGGCGCAAGUCUUGUCCAGCAAUGCCGAGUGAAGGAUGAAGGACUUAGGGGUGUAAAAUGCUUUUGUACGGAAAGAAAAGCCUUCUUUUAAUACAGGAGGGUCAUGACGGUACCGGAAGAAUAAGCACCGGCUAACUACGUG
RNAcentral lists this ribosomal RNA (475 nucleotides) under uncultured bacterium. Its description in RNAcentral is "partial 16S ribosomal RNA". It matches the Rfam family "Bacterial small subunit ribosomal RNA", at positions 28 to 507 of the family's 1533-position model. The record is from RNAcentral.